This 1488-nucleotide ribosomal RNA is filed under the name Triticum aestivum (bread wheat). RNAcentral describes it as "partial small subunit ribosomal RNA". The record is from RNAcentral. Lineage: Eukaryota; Viridiplantae; Streptophyta; Magnoliopsida; Poales; Poaceae.
AUGCUGUCGCAGUUCAACAGUUCUCUUUGGGUGCAGGAAGGCGACGUCCAUGAACACCAGGGCCUCGGUCACGACCAGGCGGCGGUGAUGGGGCUGGAGGCCGGCAACCAGCACCUUAUGCCUAUGCCCUCGGGCGGAGGCGGGGGGUUCCCCGCCCUACCGAUGCUUGAUGAGGUAAGCUGGUACUUCAACCCGGGCGCGGUCGGCGACGCCGCCGGGAACGGGUCCAUGAUCCCGGCGCCGGCAACUAUGGAAGCGUCGGGAUCUAGCUCCGGAUUCGGAGAUGCUUCCCAGAUGUUCCCGCUCCUCAACCCGGGAGUGGGAGGUACGGGACCGCUCGACGUCCCUGGGUUCAACCUCGACAUCUCCGGCGACCUCUCGGCGUUUCUUGGCGCCGGGAACGCGCCGAACGCAUCCCUGCUGCCGCAUGGGAACGCAGACUUCCUCGGCUCGUUCGGUGGCUUCGGCACCGCACCGGCACAAACGACGGACUUCGGUGGCCUCGCUGGUUUCGACUUGGUCGAUACCGGCGCCCAGGGCUGGAGCGGCCCAUCCUCAGAGGGGCCGGCUGCUCCGGCGCCCCAGACCGCUGCCUUCUCUGGGCAGGGCAACGCGAAGGUGCUGAGGCCGCUGGAGAACUUCCCGGCGUCGGGCGCGCAGCCAACGCUCUUCCAGAAGCGCGCACUCCGGCGUAACGCCGGCGAAGAGGACGGCGAGAGGAGGAAGCGUAAGGCAGCGGAGCCUGACAUAAUACUCGACGACGCCGACGAUGACAUCAUCAGCAUCGACGCGUCCGGGCUGAAUUACGACUCGGAGGACGGGAGGGACGUUGAGGAGAGCGGCAGGAAGGACGGCAAGGAGUCGAACGCCAACAGCACGGUCACCGGCGGCGCUGCGGCUGAAGGGAGCGGGAAGAAGAAGGGGAUGCCGGCCAAGAACCUCAUGGCUGAGCGCCGUCGCCGGAAGAAGCUCAACGACCGGCUGUACGCGCUUCGGUCUGUCGUGCCCAGGAUCAGCAAGAUGGACAGGGCUUCUAUUCUUGGUGAUGCAAUCGAGUACCUCAAGGAGCUCACGCAGAAGAUCAAUGUUCUUCAGAAUGAGCUGGAGGCAUCUCCUUCCACGUCCUCGCUGCCUCCGACACCUACAAGCUUCCGCCCUCCGACUCCUACAAUGCCCGCGCUGCCAUCUCGCGUGAAGGAGGAACUGACAAGCUCUCCUGCUCAGGAACCACGUGUUGAGGUUAAGCUUCGUGAAGGUCGGGUCGUCAACAUCCGCAUGAUGUGCUCUCGCAGGCCAGGUGUUGUGCAUUCUUCCUUGAAGGCCCUCGAAGGCCUUGGUCUUGACGUGCAGCAAGCUGUUAUCAGCUAUUUCAAUGACUUUACAUUGGAUGUCUCCAAGGCUGAGCAGUGCAAGGAUGGCCCUGGUCCUCAGGCUGAGGAAAUCAAGGCGGUGCUCCUGCAAUCUGCGGGGUUCCAUCCAGCGGCCUAG